Kogia breviceps (pygmy sperm whale) is the source of this 341-nucleotide non-coding RNA. The record is from RefSeq and is a predicted model, not a curated record. Lineage: Eukaryota; Metazoa; Chordata; Mammalia; Artiodactyla; Physeteridae.
AGGAGUGAGAAUCCAGAAUGAUGAGAGACCAACCAGCAGGGGAAGGAAGUCCCUGGGAGGCGAGUUGUGCGCACCUGCCUUUUCUGCACACAGGCCUGGCCCUGUGCACUGCUGACAGGAGCCUGGCCUCCUCAGGAACCUCCAAGGAUUUGGCUUCGGGACAAUGCAGGGCUGCAUCCACAUUGAGACGAGCUUGGUUUCCUCAGGACCGGCUGGGAGGUGCCUCCAUGGGAGAAAAAGGUCGUCCAGAACACCCAAGACAAGACUUCCCUUGUGGUGCAGUGGUUAAGAAUCCACCUGCCAAUGCACGGGACACGGGUUCGAUCCCUGGUCCGGGAAGA